Long non-coding RNA from Daphnia magna, 919 nucleotides. RefSeq lists it as uncharacterized. The record is from RefSeq and is a predicted model, not a curated record. NCBI's taxonomy places the organism in Eukaryota, Metazoa, Arthropoda, Branchiopoda, Diplostraca, Daphniidae. The transcript is spliced from 2 exons.
ACCACAAGUCACGGCAGACGACAAAAAAUUUUGGAGAAAUUUGUAUAAUUUGGCAACGCUGCGUGAAGUGCAAUAGCUACUUUUGACAGUUGGAGUACUUCACGUAUGAAGUACAAUAUACGCGACCAAAUUUUAUUUUAGAACAAAUAUUCUCCGCUGCCUUAGAAGUGCUACCGAUACUUCUUUUGGUUGGAAAGCAGAAGAAAAAGUUGAAUCAAUAUUUUAUUGAUUGCAGAGAAGAUUCCGUUAAUAUAACGUCUGCUAUACAAGAAAUUGGCAGGUUAUCUCCUUACAUUAUGAAAUGUGGCAAUUCAUUUCACAUUAGAGCUGGGAAGGCUCCCUUUCUGUACAUUCCAAAUUCAGUCGAAGCCCUGACAUCAUUGAUAGCCGUUUACUACGUCUUCGAUCUACAGUGGGGCAAGGAGGCGAUGACCGUCCUGCUCUUUAUAGAAUCGGAAGUUAUCGGGUGGAAAUCUAAACAAUCCAAAUGUUGAAACGCCGUAAAUCUUCUGAAGAACCUCCUGCGCUAAAUCACAGGGAGCCUGGUCUUAAUUUUGUUUUUAUCUAAAUGUUGGGUUUUAAAAACUGACAACAUUGAAUGUCAAACUCAGUUACCCUUGAUAGAGGGAAUGGGCAAUGUGUACUCGAAUUGGUUAACGAACGCACCUUGGUGUACGAAGAUAGCUCUUGCGGCUGAAAUUCUCGUUUGUUUCUUAAAACAAACAUGUUUUCCAGCCGCAAUUUCUCUCAUCAAACAGCAAGUUGCGUUCGUUAACCAAUGCGAGUACGCGUUGUUCGCUUCCUCUAUAAGCGGAUCUUGUCCUUCCUAAAUCUAGAUGCUUUUUAUUAUGUGUAAUUCGAUUAUUUGCAAUAAAAAAAAUGUUUGUCUUGGUUAAAUAAAGAAACCUUUGUUAUUUUA